This 398-nucleotide ribosomal RNA is filed under the name uncultured Malassezia. RNAcentral describes it as "eukaryotic LSU rRNA". The stretch from base 1 to 127 matches the Rfam family "5.8S ribosomal RNA", at positions 28 to 154 of the family's 154-position model. Lineage: Eukaryota; Fungi; Basidiomycota; Malasseziomycetes; Malasseziales; Malasseziaceae. The record is from RNAcentral.
UUGCAUCGAUGAAGAACGCAGCGAAACGCGAUAGGUAAUGUGAAUUGCAGAAUUCCGUGAAUCAUCGAAUCUUUGAACGCACCUUGCGCUCCAUGGCAUUCCGUGGAGCAUGCCUGUUUGAGUGCCGCGAAAUCUCCCACCCCUAGCGGUUGCCGCAAGGCGCCGCCGGGCGGCGGGGUUGGUUGGGUGCCGCUGCCUGGGCUUUGGCCCAGGCUCGCCCGAAAUGCAUGAGCGCUUAGCACUCGCACCGUCUCGAGGGAAGGCGGCGGAGCUGGCAUCUGCGCAUGGCAUGAUACGUCAUUUGCUGUGUGGCAGCCCAGCGACCCGAGAGUGUGUGUGCGCUACUACACGCCCUUUCAUUUCUGGUCUCAAAUCAGGUAGGAUCACCCGCUGAACUU